RNAcentral lists this ribosomal RNA (410 nucleotides) under uncultured microorganism. Its description in RNAcentral is "bacterial SSU rRNA". It matches the Rfam family "Bacterial small subunit ribosomal RNA", at positions 509 to 917 of the family's 1533-position model. The record is from RNAcentral.
CAGCCGCCGCGGUAAUACAUAGGGUGCGAGCGUUAAUCGGAUUUACUGGGCGUAAAGCGUGCGCAGGCGGCCCGUUAAGACAGGUGUGAAAUCCCUGGGCUCAACCUAGGAAUUGCGCUUGUGACUGGCGGGCUCGAGUACGGUAGAGGGGGGUGGAAUUCCUGGUGUAGCAGUGAAAUGCGUAGAGAUCAGGAGGAACACCGAUGGCGAAGGCAGCCCCCUGGGCCUGUACUGACGCUCAUGCACGAAAGCGUGGGGAGCAAACAGGAUUAGAUACCCUGGUAGUCCACGCCCUAAACGAUGGGUACUAGCCGUUUGGUGCGCGAUAGCGCUGAGUGGCGAAGCUAACGCGUGAAGUACCCCGCCUGGGGAGUACGGCCGCAAGGUUGAAACUUAAAGGAAUUGGCGGG